This 468-nucleotide ribosomal RNA is filed under the name uncultured bacterium. Its description in RNAcentral is "partial 16S ribosomal RNA". It matches the Rfam family "Bacterial small subunit ribosomal RNA", at positions 28 to 507 of the family's 1533-position model. The record is from RNAcentral.
GACGAACGCUGGCGGCGUGCUUAACACAUGCAAGUCGAACGGAAAGGCCCUGCUUUUGUGGGGUGCUCGAGUGGCGAACGGGUGAGUAACACGUGAGUAACCUGCCCUUGACUUUGGGAUAACUUCAGGAAACUGGGGCUAAUACCGGAUAGGAGCUCCUGCUGCAUGGUGGGGGUUGGAAAGUUUCGGCGGUUGGGGAUGGACUCGCGGCUUAUCAGCUUGUUGGUGGGGUAGUGGCUUACCAAGGCUUUGACGGGUAGCCGGCCUGAGAGGGUGACCGGCCACAUUGGGACUGAGAUACGGCCCAGACUCCUACGGGAGGCAGAAGUGGGGAAUAUUGCACAAUGGGCGGAAGCCUGAUGCAGCAACGCCGCGUGCGGGAUGACGGCCUUCGGGUUGUAAACCGCUUUCGACUGUGACGAAGAGUGAGUGACGGUAAUGGGUAAAGAAGCGACGGCUAACUACGUG